UUUUUGUUUAACUGCAGCAAAUUGCUGCAUUCAAUAUUUUGCGAAGACGUCUAAAAACUGUGCCAUCAAACUCUUUCAAUGGUGAUCAACUCAAACGAGCAUCAUCAGGCAACCCUUACUCCCAAAUUUUACAUCAUAGUGGAUCAAAAAUUACUGAGGAUGUUGAUAUGGACCAAGAUAAUGGGAAUUUACAGAACGGAAUUGACUUUGCUACACUGCAACAGUUUAAGAAAAUGCAGCAACACCAUAUGCUAGCAAAAUCACGAGCACAAUUACGAAACAGUUCCACUUCAGUAUUGAAGGAGGGGCCCAAAAGUAGAGCCCCAACAAUCUCCAACAUUAGAGAGAAACAAGCCUCCUUCAAGAUCAUCUAGGAGAGGGCCGGGGCAGUUGCAGAUUUAACUGCUGUCAUUGCUGCCAAUCAAUAGUUCUAGUUCAAUCGUACUCAAGCCACAGGCAAUAUUAGGUAUAUAGUUUGUAAAAUUUUAUAUCUAUAGUAGUUUGUUUCUAUAUU
Hibiscus syriacus is the source of this 514-nucleotide long non-coding RNA. RefSeq lists it as uncharacterized. Lineage: Eukaryota; Viridiplantae; Streptophyta; Magnoliopsida; Malvales; Malvaceae. The transcript is spliced from 2 exons. The record is from RefSeq and is a predicted model, not a curated record.